UAGCCAAAGCAAUGUCGCUUUGAUACCAGAAAGAAAGUGAGAUAGAAAGACGGAGCGACAGAAUGAGAGAGAAUUCAGAUGGAUGACAGUGUUUCAUCCCAUGUUUCAGCAAAUGUCUUAGUUUACCAGCUACAGAGUCAUCUCUUUGUCCUCUCUGUGGCUUUACAGGUCAAAGUUCAUAUUGCUCUGAUAAACUCCAUUCCAUUAGUCUGAUUGUGACCAACUGGCAAAGCUUGGCAGUGGAUAAAGUCCAGAGUGAAAAUAGAGGGAAGAGUCAUCUGCCUCCCGCGGUCUGCCAACGCACAGACCACCAUGGGAAGUGAGGGAGCGAAAAAGAAAGAGGAAGAAAAAGAUAACUGGAGAGAUUGGACAGUCGGGAGCUUUUGAAGAGAAGAAAGACAGAAUUCUGCCCCAAGUACAGCGAUAACGGACAUGGGGUCCCACUGGGGAAUGAGCCGGAGGGGUCUCUAUGAAAUAUGAAAGACAGUUUUAUCUGUUUGCAGAACAUGUGGACAGUGUAGACUGUUGUCCUUUCACCUGGAGCCAAGGCUCAUGAACUACAUGGUUGAGAGUGUUGGGAAAUCUGCAUCCUGUUUUACGGUUGGCAAACUUCUGUUGACUGAAUACAUCAGUUAAGAAUCUGAGGCUUUUUCAGGCCAUUUGUGGUUCUUUGUAUGGGAAAGGUAAAAUAAAGUGUGUGUUCCUGACAAUAUUUUGGUAGCAUAUACCAGUUCUAAACAAAAAUGAGAGAGAAUUGGAGAAAAACAUCAAUAGAUGGAUGAAUGAAUAGGUGAAGUGAGUCAGUGUACAGCUAUUCACUGUCCCUGUGCCCGUUUUGUCCUCUCUGCGCUAUUUGGAUAAAAUCUCUUUUAUCUCCGCUGGUGCCAGCCUCUGAUGCAUAAACACUCCAGAGUCAGACUGACUCCUUUUGCUUUGAUAGAGGGACAGAAAAAGAAAGGAAACAAAAACCGCAUUAGCGUUUCAGCAUCAGUAAGAACAUCCUGUGUCUGGCCUGUCGUUCAUUUCAUUUUACACUUCUUCAUUUCUCUUACACAGUUCAUUUCCUCCUUGAACUGAAGUCAUCAAUGCUCAUGUGCUUAUUUAAGAAUUUAUUGUAUCCUGUUGAUUUUCUGGUCAAGGAGUUUUUUUUCAUCAAAGUAUGUUAAUAAAUUUUUUUAGAUUAAAUAACAAUAUAUUUUAAUGUGUUUGGCAUUGUCACGAAAACUUAUGGGUCCCAGGACAUCAUUUUUAUGGACAUUUUAUAGGCAUCAGUAAGCACAGUAACAUUUUCUUGAGAAUAAAAAUAGCAUUUUUAUACAUAAAAGAUUUCAAUAUCAUUUUUAGAGAAUACACUACCGUUCAAAAGUUUGGGGUCGGUAAGACUGUUUAAUGUUUUUGAAAUAAGCAUCUUAUGCUCACCAAGGCUGCAGUUAUUUAAUCAAAAAUACAAUAAAUAUCUAAACGGUAAUAUUGUAAAAUGUCAUUACAAUUAUUUUAUUUUAUUAUUAUUAUUUAUUUUUUUAUUUUUUUAAAUGUUAUUAUUCCUGUAAUGGCAAAACUGAAUUUUCAGUAGUCAUUACCCCAGUCUUAAGUGAU
This is a long non-coding RNA of Onychostoma macrolepis, 1596 nucleotides long. RefSeq lists it as uncharacterized. The transcript has 4 exons. Lineage: Eukaryota; Metazoa; Chordata; Actinopteri; Cypriniformes; Cyprinidae. The record is from RefSeq and is a predicted model, not a curated record.